AUACUUUUCUCGGCCUUUUGGCUAAGAUCAAGUGUAGUAUCUGUUCUUAUCAGUUUAAUAUCUGGUACGUGGACUAUGUGUUCACUUUGAUAUAAACUUAUUUUUUGUGGGGAGGAUCUACUAGGGUCCUCAAGCGUUGCUUGGGCGUUGCACUAUUGCACAAGCUAAGGCGCACCCCCA
Molecule: small nuclear RNA, 180 nt
Filed under: Sorghum bicolor (sorghum)
Lineage: Eukaryota; Viridiplantae; Streptophyta; Magnoliopsida; Poales; Poaceae
Description: snRNA U2
Rfam family: U2 spliceosomal RNA
About the family: U2 is a small nuclear RNA (snRNA) component of the spliceosome (involved in pre-mRNA splicing). Complementary binding between U2 snRNA (in an area lying towards the 5' end but 3' to hairpin I) and the branchpoint sequence (BPS) of the intron results the bulging out of an unpaired adenosine, on the BPS, which initiates a nucleophilic attack at the intronic 5' splice site, thus starting the first of two transesterification reactions that mediate splicing.
Source: Rfam by way of RNAcentral